ACUCCUACGGGAGGCAGCAGUGAGGAAUAUUGGUCAAUGGAGGCAACUCUGAACCAGCCAUGCCGCGUGCAGGAAGACUGCCCUAUGGGUUGUAAACUGCUUUUAUACAGGAAGAAACAGUCGUACGAGUACGACCUUGACGGUACUGUAAGAAUAAGCACCGGCUAACUCCGUGCCAGCAGCCGCGGUAAUACGGAGGGUGCAAGCGUUAUCCGGAAUCAUUGGGUUUAAAGGGUCCGCAGGCGGUCAAUUAAGUCAGAGGUGAAAUCCCAUAGCUUAACUAUGGAACUGCCUUUGAUACUGGUUGACUUGAGUUAUACGGAAGUAGAUAGAAUAAGUAGUGUAGCGGUGAAAUGCAUAGAUAUUACUUAGAAUACCGAUUGCGAAGGCAGUCUACUACGUAUAUACUGACGCUCAUGGACGAAAGCGUGGGAGCGAACAGGAUUAGAUACCCUGGUAGGCUCUG
Molecule: ribosomal RNA, 466 nt
Filed under: uncultured bacterium
Lineage: Bacteria
Description: bacterial SSU rRNA
Rfam family: Bacterial small subunit ribosomal RNA
Source: RNAcentral